Molecule: ribosomal RNA, 701 nt
Filed under: uncultured Glomeromycotina
Lineage: Eukaryota; Fungi; Glomeromycota
Description: eukaryotic LSU rRNA
Rfam family: Eukaryotic large subunit ribosomal RNA
Source: RNAcentral
GCAUAUCAAUAAGCGGAGGAAAAGAAUCUAACCAGGAUUCCCCUAGUAACGGCGAGUGAAGCGGGAACAGCUCAAAUUUUAAAUCUGGCCGGCGUGGUCGGUCCUGAGUUGUAAUUUGAAGAAGCGGUUAUCACGUUUUCGUUUGGGUUUAAGUUCCUUGGAACAGGACAUCAGAGAGGGUGAGAAUCCCGUCUGUGAUCCAAUCGGUUACGGUACGAUAUCGUUUCUAAGAGUCGAGUUGUUUGGGAUUGCAGCUCAAAAUGGGUGGUAAAUUCCAUCUAAGGCUAAAUAUAGGCGAGAGACCGAUAGCGAACAAGUACCGUGAGGGAAAGAUGAAAAGCACUUUGAAAAGAGAGUUAAACAGUACGUGAAAUUGUUGAUAGGGAAACGAUUGAAGUCAGUCGUGCCAGCGAGAAAUCAGCUCACAGGCUACUGUGGGUGCACUUUUUCGCAAGGCAGGUUAACAUCGAUUUUUGUUACGUCAUAAUGAUUGUAGGAAGGUGGCUCCUUCGGGAGUGUUAUAGCCUACUUUAGAUGGCGUGAUAGAGAUCGAGGAUUGCAGCGAAUGCCUUUAGGCUACGGGUCUGUUCUCUGUCGAUUGUCAAUUGGACUUCAGCAAGCUGAGGCACGGUUGAAUAAUUUACAAUAGAAUGGAAUCCGAUAAAUUCGCUAAGGAUGUUGACGUAAUGGCUUUAAACGAC